This is a non-coding RNA of Talpa occidentalis (Iberian mole), 921 nucleotides long. The record is from the annotation of a RefSeq genome assembly. Lineage: Eukaryota; Metazoa; Chordata; Mammalia; Eulipotyphla; Talpidae.
AUGCCUCUUCUGGAAGCUGUCAUCUUCUCUUCCCUCUGGGCAUUUGGUGUUUGUCAGUUAAAGUUGGAGCAACCUAAAAUAUCACUUUCCAGGGGAAGACAUCAGAUUGCCUACAUAUCUUGUAAGGUGUCCUCUGGUAGCUUUAACAGUGAUUACAUACACUGGUACCAACAGAAACCUGGCCAGAAUAUAGAACAUCUAAUAUAUGUGCAAUCAACAACGAAAGCUGCUCAGCAGAAAAUAGGUGAUAAUAUCAAACUUGAAGCCAGCAAAGACUCGCGCACUUCCACUUCAAUUUUGAAAAUUAUUUACUUAGAUAAUGAAGAUGAGGCCAUAUACUACUGUGCCAGCUGGGACCACAACUUCUAUUAUGGAAAAAUAUUCGGUGAUGGAACAAAGCUUAUUAUUACAGAUAAAAGAAUUGGCUCAGCUUUUGCCCCUAAGCCCACAGCUUUUCUUCCUUCAGUUGCUGAAAAAAACCUCCAUAAAACUGGAACAUAUCUUUGUCUUCUUGAGAAUUUUUUCCCUGAUGUUAUUAAGAUAGAUUGGAAAGAAAAGAAUGGCAAAAACUUCCUGAAAUCACAGCAGGGAAGGACCAUAGCGACUGGUGACACGUACAUGAAAUUCAGCUGGCUGACUCCGUCUGAAACGUCGCUAGAUAAAGAACACGUUUGUGUUGUCAAACACGAGUUUAAUAAAGAAGAUCAAGAGAUUUCUUUUCCGCCAAUAAAUGACGAACUCAAUAGACUGAAUGGCUCUGAAGUGAUAAAAAAUGAAAGCGAGCCACUGCAGCUGCAGUUAGCAUACAUCUCUGCCUAUUACACCUACGUCCUCCUCCUUCUCAAGAGCAUGGUCUACUUUGCCAUCAUCGCCUUCAGUCUGCUCAGGACAGGCAUCUGCAGCAAUGGAAAGAGUCCCUAA